RNA transcript from Piliocolobus tephrosceles (Ugandan red Colobus), 1616 nucleotides. It is a transcript of the gene named calcium signal-modulating cyclophilin ligand pseudogene, with no coding region annotated. The record is from RefSeq and is a predicted model, not a curated record. NCBI's taxonomy places the organism in Eukaryota, Metazoa, Chordata, Mammalia, Primates, Cercopithecidae. The transcript has a single exon.
UGCUGCUUUUCUUUAAGAAGUUUCUUUUUCAUAGCAGUCAAACCAAUGUGUAAAAACAGAAUAAUUUGGUUCUCAUAUUCAAUUGUAAGCACAUUGAAAGGGCCGUGGAACAUUUGCAGUGGCCUUUAGUGUAUCAGAACAUAGUUUAGGUCUGCCGGGCAAACUAAGGCACGUACUUUUUAAAUGAAUGCCUCCCUUCAGCCAGGGCAACCCAGAAUAGUAGACAGUUGCUGGACAGGAAUUAGGAGACCUGUAUUCUAGACCAGCCUGACUACCAUUUCAAGGGUCUGACUUGGAACAAAUCACUUUAGUUCUCUGAACCUUAAUAUCCCUUUGUAAGGUGAGGAACUCAGAUAAGGCGAUUACAAAGGUGUUUCAAGUGAUUUUCCGUUUUAUUCAUCUGAUUGCCCAGAUGACCAUUAACCAGGAAUUUAGGGAAAAUGCUUUUUUCCAUCAGUGUCUGAGCUUCUCAACCUCAGCUCUAACAACAAGUUUUAGAAAUGUUUUUGUAGUGGGAAGGGGACGCGCGCCUUGCGGCCAGGCCUGUAGUCAUCGUUCUCGCCGCAGCGGCCAACACCACCGCCCCUGCCACCCCUCCCAGACUGUGGACGGGAGGAUGGAGUCGAUGGCCGUCGCUACCGACGGCGGGGAGAGGCCGGGGGUCCCAGCAGGCUCAGGCCUGUCGGCCUCCCAGCGUCGGGCUGAGCUGCGUCGGAGAAAGCUGCUCAUGAACUCCGAACAGCGCAUCAACCGGAUCAUGGGCUUUCACAGGCCCGGGAGCGGCGCAGAAGAAGAAAGUCAAACAAAAUCAAAGCAGCAGGACAGUGAUAAACUGAACUCCCUCAGCGUUCCUUCAGUUUCAAAGCGAGUAGUGCUGGGUGAUUCAGUCAGUACAGGAACAACUGACCAGCAGGGUGGUGUGGCCGGGAUAAAGGGGACCCAACUGGGAGACAAAUUGGACUCUUUCAUUAAACCACCUGAGUGCAGUAAUGAUGUCAACCUUGAGCUCCGGCAGCGGAACAGAGGGGACUUGACAGCGGACUCAGUCCAGAGGGGUGCCCGCCAUGGCCUAGAGCAGUACCUUUCCAGAUUUGAAGAAGCAAUGAAGCUAAGGAAACAGCUGAUUAGUGAAAAACCCAGUCAAGACGAUGGAAGUACAACAGAAGAAUUUGACUCUUCGAAUAUUUAGAUUGGUGGGAUGUGCUCUUCUUGCUCUUGGAGUCAGAGCUUUUGUUUGCAAAUACUUGUCCAUAUUUGCUCCAUUUCUUACUUUGCAACUUGCGUACAUGGGAUUAUACAAAUAUUUUCCCAAGAGUGAAAAGAAGAUAAAGACAACAGUACUAACAGCUGCACUUCUAUUAUCGGGAAUUCCUGCUGAAGUGAUAAAUCGAUCAAUGGAUACCUAUAGCAAAAUGGGCAAAGUCUUCACAGAUCUCUGUGUCUACUUUUUCACCUUUAUCUUUUGUCAUGAACUGCUUGAUUAUUGGGGCUCUGAAGUACCAUGAAGCCUGCAGAACUGAGAAGGAGAAGCUUACAAAAAAAAAAAAAAAUCCUCUUUUAUAUUGCAGUGUCUCUAAAGGAGGCAAAUUGGUUUACACCUUCAUGUAAUUCUUUUA